GACAGAGGUGCCGAGCGUUAGGCGGAAUCACUGGGCUUAAAGCGUGUGUAGGCGGGUCGUUAAGUGUCUUGUGAAAUCCCACCGCUCAACGGUGGAACGGCUGGGCAUACUGGCGACCUUGAGGGACCCAGGGGCGAGCGGAACAGCGGUGGAGCGGUGAAAUGCGUAGAUAUCGGAAGGAACGCCGGUGGCGAAAGCGGUCUGCUGGACCUCUUCUGACGCUGAGGCGCGAAAGCCAGGGGAGCAAACGGG
This 252-nucleotide ribosomal RNA is filed under the name uncultured bacterium. Its description in RNAcentral is "partial 16S ribosomal RNA". It matches the Rfam family "Bacterial small subunit ribosomal RNA", at positions 524 to 776 of the family's 1533-position model. The record is from RNAcentral.